This 421-nucleotide ribosomal RNA is filed under the name uncultured fungus. Its description in RNAcentral is "eukaryotic LSU rRNA". It matches the Rfam family "Eukaryotic large subunit ribosomal RNA", at positions 1 to 422 of the family's 3401-position model. The record is from RNAcentral. Lineage: Eukaryota; Fungi.
AAUCUCCAAUCAGGCAAGACUACCCGCUGAACUUAAGCAUAUCAAUAAGCGGAGGAAAAGAAACUAACAAGGAUUCCCCUAGUAACUGCGAGUGAAGCGGGAACAGCUCAAAUUUGAAAUCUCCAAGGUUCCCUUGGCGAAUUGUAGUUUAGAGAAGCGUUUUCAGUGACGGUCUUGGUUCAAGUCCCUUGGAACAGGGUGUCAUAGAGGGUGAGAACCCCGUUAAACCUUGAUUUGUUGCCAUGUGAUACGCUUUCCAAGAGUCGGGUUGUUUGGGAUUGCAGCCCAAAAUGGGAGGUAAAUUUCUUCUAAAGCUAAAUACUGGCGAGAGACCGAUAGCGAACAAGUACCGUGAGGGAAAGAUGAAAAGAACUUUGAAAAGAGAGUUAAAUAGUACGUGAAAUUGUCAAAAGGGAACGGC